CAUGAAGCCGGAAUUGCUAGUAAUCGUAGGUCAGCAUACUACGGUGAAUACGUUCCCGGGCCUUGUACACACCGCCCGUCAAACCAUGAGAGUUGGCAACACCCGAAGUCGGUAGUCUAACCGCAAGGAGGACGCCGCCGAAGGUGGGGUUGAUGAUUAGGGUUAAGUCGUAACAAGGUAAC
This 182-nucleotide ribosomal RNA is filed under the name uncultured bacterium. RNAcentral describes it as "partial 16S ribosomal RNA". It matches the Rfam family "Bacterial small subunit ribosomal RNA", at positions 1319 to 1500 of the family's 1533-position model. The record is from RNAcentral.